GAUGAACGCUGGCGGCGUGCCUAAUACAUGCAAGUCGAGCGAACAGAUGAGGAGCUUGCUCCUCUGACGUUAGCGGCGGACGGGUGAGUAACACGUGGAUAACCUACCUAUAAGACUGGGAUAACUUCGGGAAACCGGAGCUAAUACCGGAUAAUAUAUUGAACCGCAUGGUUCAAUAGUGAAAGACGGUUUUGCUGUCACUUAUAGAUGGAUCCGCGCCGCAUUAGCUAGUUGGUAAGGUAACGGCUUACCAAGGCAACGAUGCGUAGCCGACCUGAGAGGGUGAUCGGCCACACUGGAACCGAGACACGGUCCAGACUCCUACGGGAGGCAGCAGUAGGGAAUCUUCCGCAAUGGGCGAAAGCCUGACGGAGCAACGCCGCGUGAGUGAUGAAGGUCUUCGGAUCGUAAAACUCUGUUAUUAGGGAAGAACAAAUGUGUAAGUAACUAUGCACGUCUUGACGGUACCUAAUCAGAAAGCCACGGCUAACUACGU
RNAcentral lists this ribosomal RNA (496 nucleotides) under uncultured bacterium. RNAcentral's name for it is "partial 16S ribosomal RNA". It matches the Rfam family "Bacterial small subunit ribosomal RNA", at positions 28 to 506 of the family's 1533-position model. The record is from RNAcentral.